GUAACGCUCCUAUUUCUAUUAAAGCAAUUAGACAUGCGAAUAAUACAUUUAUUCAAGAAAUAGAGAUUACGUCUUAUUCAAAAUUAAAAAAAAACGAUAGACAUGUAUGUAAACCUCAACAGUUACAGCGGAAUACAAAUCAGAGUGAUUAAAUAUAUACAUGCCAUGAGCAAAUAAAUCAUAUCCCAAAGAUAAAUCUCAAAACCCAAACAUACGGGUAGUCAUCAACAAAAUAAUAAUUCAAAGGAAAAAAAUAUAACAACCUAAUCUAGACCGACACGACAAGCCUAGAUCAGAGCCGACACAACACCGAUAUCGGAGGAAGCUCCCGAUAUCCCACGCAAAGACUCACCGAGACUACUCCUGCACAACGUCUACUCACCCAUACAGGCAAGUAGGCGGUUAAAACCACUGGGGGUAAGCAUUACAUUAUCAUAAUCCAGAUAAUAAUCAAAACAGAUAAUAUCAUGUACUUGAAUAAUAAUAAUCAUGCAUAAAUAUUUACAUCACCACUUGAUAGUUCGUAUCCACAUAUAUCAAUCACAUGAAUAAUUUAUCCAAUCACAAAUAUUCAUUCACAACAUCAAUCAUAGACAAUCAUUAUCAACAUUCAUUCAUCUCAAUUCAUCACCAAUCACAUAAUUCACAUAGGACUCAUGCUAUGAUAUGCACUUAUGGACACAUAAAUGCAUGCGGUACCAAAUCUCAACAAGGUCGUCACCUUUCGAUGCCACUUGCACAUCGAAUGUAAGGGCUCACACCUGCCUUACAAUAAUCUCGAAGUAAAAGAGUCAUCCAUUUUACAGCAACAACGACUAUGAUGCAUGGACAUGUAUAAGGACUCGAUAAUGCGACAACAAUCCACAAUUUCAACCUCAAUAUAUAGGACGACACCCAAUUAUAUUGAUUAUCUCCACACAUUGCAUUAUCAAGAAAACAUGUCCACACACAAUUAAAUCAUAGUAUUCAUCAACACACAUCAACAUGAUUCUCAAUAAUCAACAAUGUCAUUCAACAUCAACUAUCACAUAUAGUUUCACCAUUGCAAGCAUUCUCAUAUUCCAAGUAAUAUAGCAUACAUAUCUCAUGAUAAACAUCAUGUCCAAAAUAUAAUCACUCAUUCAUACAACUUCACUUAGUCAUAGAAGAAUGGUCACAAUAAUUCAUAAGACAAUACGACACAAAGAUUCACUAGACCCCUUUUUCACAAGGUUAAUUCUUUCAUAAAAAUACCCCUAGAUGAUUAGGAUAAAGUCCCUACACUUAGGAAGAAGUUUGGAAGUAAUUGGAUCAAAGAAAUUGCAUUUUUAAGGUUUCUAGGCUGCCAAAAUCGCUUCAUGACUCAUAAGAUCACUUCAUGAUUUUGACAGCAUCAGACUGAGUAGAAAAAUUUGAUGUUGCUGUCAAAAUCGCCUCAUGAUUUGCGAAAUCGCUUCAUGAUUCGACAACAUUAGGCUAUGCAGAAAAUUUAUUGUUUCUGUCAAAAUCACCUCACGAUUUGUAAGAUCGCUUCAUGAUUUUGACAGUAGCAGACUAUGCAAAAUUCAACUUCUACGUUUUCGCGCAUAAAAAUCAAACCGUUAAUCCGUUUUCGAUGCCGUUUUCGCCUACAUGCUCCUAACACUUGGCACUAUCAUAAUUUACAAAAAUUUCAUGUUUCAACCAUCCCAAAAGUCAUUUUCCAAAACCUCACAUAAUCACUUAUUGGCGAAAACGCAUAAACAUCGACAUUUCACACGAAAAACCCGUUUUCUCCCAAACAACUCAACUAACAUAACCACAACAUGAAAACAGAAAUUCUCCUAGGUUCAAUCCAUCCAACAAUAACAAAAUUUCAGUCAACAACCAUAAAUAUCAAAGUUCAAUUUGGUCCUUCACAUGAACACUUAACUCAACUUCACCAAUUUCACAAAACCACCAAUAACAUCUUAUUUCUCAUCAACAAUUAUGGUAUAUGAACACCCAAGCCUCAAAUCAUACUCAACAACAUAUCUCAGCAACAACAACAUCAAUUACAUAUGAUUUACAUCUCAUUUCAACCAAAACAUAUCAAAUUUCAUCAAUUAAGUAUAAUUUCAUAACUUAACAUUUAUACAUACUUUGAAACAUGUAAUUUCACCCACAAACAUACCAUAAUCAUCAAUUCAUGCACAAGAAAAUAACAUUACAACAAGAGCACGAAUUUAGCCACAAUUGUUCAUCAACCCAUUUUCAUACAACAUGAGAAAAUGCAAAAAUUGUACAUGAUUAUGAUAAUAACUAACCCCCUUACCUUAGAAGAAGAUUAACCCAAACUCUUGCUUCAAUUUAGCUCCUAAGCUUACCCAAUUGGAUUCUUCAAGUUCUUCUCUCCAAAACCCUUUUUCUCUUCUCUUCACCUCUUUCUCUCUCUACCUCUCUCUAGAAAUGUUUGUGAAAUGAAUGAAUUGGUUCUCCUAACACAACCCUAGUGUUAUCUCUACUAAUGGGCUUAACUUAGUUUCUAGUGGGCUUAACCCAUUUCUA
Molecule: long non-coding RNA, 2505 nt
Filed under: Medicago truncatula (barrel medic)
Lineage: Eukaryota; Viridiplantae; Streptophyta; Magnoliopsida; Fabales; Fabaceae
Description: long non-coding RNA (MTRU_LNC004940)
Source: RNAcentral